UACGGAGGAUCCAAGCGUUAUCCGGAUUUAUUGGGUUUGAAGGGUGCGCAGGCGGAAGAUUAAGUCGGCGGUGAAAUUUUGCAGCUCAACUGUAAAAGUGCCAUCGAUACUGGUUUUCUUGAGUGUGGAUGAAGUAGGCGGAAUUUGUGGUGUAGCGGUGAAAUGCAUAGAUAUCACGAGGAACUCCGAUUGCGCAGGCAGCUUACUAGGCCAUAACUGACGCUCAGGCACGAAAGCGUGGGGAUCAAACAGGAUUAGA
This 259-nucleotide ribosomal RNA is filed under the name uncultured prokaryote. RNAcentral describes it as "partial 16S ribosomal RNA". It matches the Rfam family "Bacterial small subunit ribosomal RNA", at positions 524 to 782 of the family's 1533-position model. The record is from RNAcentral.